GACGUAGGAGGCGAGCGUUGUCCGGAUUCAUUGGGCGUAAAGAGCACGCAGGCGGUUUGGCAAGUCGGAUGUGAAAACCCGAAGCUCAACUUCGGGCCUGCAUCCGAAACUGCCCGACUAGAGGUAGGUAAGGGAGAUCGGAAUUCCUGGUGUAGCGGUGAAAUGCGCAGAUAUCGGGAAGAACACCCGUGGCGAAGGCGGCUCUCUGGGACGGUACUGACGCUGAGACGCGAAAGCGUGGGGAGCGAACAGG
Molecule: ribosomal RNA, 253 nt
Filed under: uncultured bacterium
Lineage: Bacteria
Description: partial 16S ribosomal RNA
Rfam family: Bacterial small subunit ribosomal RNA
Source: RNAcentral